This 594-nucleotide ribosomal RNA is filed under the name uncultured bacterium. Its description in RNAcentral is "bacterial SSU rRNA". It matches the Rfam family "Bacterial small subunit ribosomal RNA", at positions 102 to 692 of the family's 1533-position model. The record is from RNAcentral.
AAGGGUGAGUAAGGCGACGGCAACCAACCCCGCGGCCGGGCAUAGCCACUCGAAAGGGUGGGUAAUUCCCGGCGCCCCAGGGUGCUGGCAUCAGCAGCUUGGGAAAGGUGAGACUCCGCCGUGGGACGGACCGUCGUGGUAUCAGCUUGUUGGCGGGGUAAUGGCCCACCAAGGCUAUGACGCCUACCGGGCGUGCGAGCGUGGCCCGGCACACUGGGACUGAGACACUGCCCAGACUCCUACGGGAGGCUGCAGUCGAGAAUCUUCGGCAAUGGGCGCAAGCCUGACCGAGCGACGCCGCGUGGAGGACGAAGGCCUUCGGGUUGUAAACUCCUGUCGAGGGGGAACAAGGUGCCGUGAAGAGCGGUGCUUGAGUGAACCCUGGAGGAAGCACGGGCUAAGUUCGUGCCAGCAGCCGCGGUAAGACGAACCGUGCGAACGUUAUUCGGAAUCACUGGGCUUAAAGCGCGUGUAGGCGGCCCGGCACGUCCGUCGCUGAAAUCCCCCGGCUCAACCGGGGAAGUGGCGUGGAUACGACCGGGCUGGAGGGGGGUAGGGGGAGCCGGAACUUCCGGUGGAGCGGUGAAAUGCGUU